GUUUUUAUUCUGUUAACUCAAGGCAUACUUACGGUUUUCCAUCUUCUGUAGAUGGGUAAAAAUGAGAGUGUUUUUGGUCUUUUCCCUCUCAAUAACGGUGAUUUAACAGUAAUAUUAAUGGUAGUGAUAUAAAGGUGGCUUUUAAAAAUAUAGAGAUUAAGUUAUAUAUUUUAUUAAAUUUUAGGAACUAAAUUACAAUUUACCUAGAAAAAAGGAAACACAAUUCCAAGGCCUCAAAAUAUUAUGCAGAAAUGGAGAAUAAUAAAGUAACAGACUAGCACCUAUCAAGCAAAUCCAAAUAGAAUGAAUAAAAUUCACGGGGAC
This 324-nucleotide unclassified non-coding RNA is filed under the name Hevea brasiliensis (rubber tree). The record is from RNAcentral. Lineage: Eukaryota; Viridiplantae; Streptophyta; Magnoliopsida; Malpighiales; Euphorbiaceae.